GCCCAGAGCCUGAAUCAGUGUGUGUGUUAGUGGAAGCGUCUGGAAAGGCGCGCGAUACAGGGUGACAGCCCCGUACACAAAAAUGCACAUACUGUGAGCUCGAUGAGUAGGGCGGGACACGUGGUAUCCUGUCUGAAUAUGGGGGGACCAUCCUCCAAGGCUAAAUACUCCUGACUGACCGAUAGUGAACCAGUACCGUGAGGGAAAGGCGAAAAGAACCCCGGCGAGGGGAGUGAAAAAGAACCUGAAACCGUGUACGUACAAGCAGUGGGAGCACGCUUAGGCGUGUGACUGCGUACCUUUUGUAUAAUGGGUCAGCGACUUAUAUUCUGUAGCAAGGUUAACCGAAUAGGGGAGCCGAAGGGAAACCGAGUCUUAACUGGGCGUUAAGUUGCAGGGUAUAGACCCGAAACCCGGUGAUCUAGCCAUGGGCAGGUUGAAGGUUGGGUAACACUAACUGGAGGACCGAACCGACUAAUGUUGAAAAAUUAGCGGAUGACUUGUGGCUGGGGGUGAAAGGCCAAUCAAACCGGGAGAUAGCUGGUUCUCCCCGAAAGCUAUUUAGGUAGCGCCUCGUGAAUUCAUCUCCGGGGGUAGAGCACUGUUUCGGCAAGGGGGUCAUCCCGACUUACCAACCCGAUGCAAACUGCGAAUACCGGAGAAUGUUAUCACGGGAGACACACGGCGGGUGCUAACGUCCGUCGUGAAGAGGGAAACAACCCAGACCGCCAGCUAAGGUCCCAAAGUCAUGGUUAAGUGGGAAACGAUGUGGGAAGGCCCAGACAGCCAGGAUGUUGGCUUAGAAGCAGCCAUCAUUUAAAGAAAGCGUAAUAGCUCACUGGUCGAGUCGGCCUGCGCGGAAGAUGUAACGGGGCUAAACCAUGCACCGAAGCUGCGGCAGCGACGCUUAUGCGUUGUUGGGUAGGGGAGCGUUCUGUAAGCCUGUGAAGGUGUACUGUGAGGUAUGCUGGAGGUAUCAGAAGUGCGAAUGCUGACAUAAGUAACGAUAAAGCGGGUGAAAAGCCCGCUCGCCGGAAGACCAAGGGUUCCUGUCCAACGUUAAUCGGGGCAGGGUGAGUCGACCCCUAAGGCGAGGCCGAAAGGCGUAGUCGAUGGGAAACAGGUUAAUAUUCCUGUACUUGGUGUUACUGCGAAGGGGGGACGGAGAAGGCUAUGUUGGCCGGGCGACGGUUGUCCCGGUUUAAGCGUGUAGGCUGGUUUUCCAGGCAAAUCCGGAAAAUCAAGGCUGAGGCGUGAUGACGAGGCACUACGGUGCUGAAGCAACAAAUGCCCUGCUUCCAGGAAAAGCCUCUAAGCAUCAGGUAACAUCAAAUCGUACCCCAAACCGACACAGGUGGUCAGGUAGAGAAUACCAAGGCGCUUGAGAGAACUCGGGUGAAGGAACUAGGCAAAAUGGUGCCGUAACUUCGGGAGAAGGCACGCUGAUAUGUAGGUGAAGUCCCUCGCGGAUGGAGCUGAAAUCAGUCGAAGAUACCAGCUGGCUGCAACUGUUUAUUAAAAACACAGCACUGUGCAAACACGAAAGUGGACGUAUACGGUGUGACGCCUGCCCGGUGCCGGAAGGUUAAUUGAUGGGGUUAGCGCAAGCGAAGCUCUUGAUCGAAGCCCCGGUAAACGGCGGCCGUAACUAUAACGGUCCUAAGGUAGCGAAAUUCCUUGUCGGGUAAGUUCCGACCUGCACGAAUGGCGUAAUGAUGGCCAGGCUGUCUCCACCCGAGACUCAGUGAAAUUGAACUCGCUGUGAAGAUGCAGUGUACCCGCGGCAAGACGGAAAGACCCCGUGAACCUUUACUAUAGCUUGACACUGAACAUUGAGCCUUGAUGUGUAGGAUAGGUGGGAGGCUUUGAAGUGUGGACGCCAGUCUGCAUGGAGCCGACCUUGAAAUACCACCCUUUAAUGUUUGAUGUUCUAACGUGGACCCGUAAUCCGGGUUGCGGACAGUGUCUGGUGGGUAGUUUGACUGGGGCGGUCUCCUCCUAAAGAGUAACGGAGGAGCACGAAGGUUGGCUAAUCCUGGUCGGACAUCAGGAGGUUAGUGCAAUGGCAUAAGCCAGCUUGACUGCGAGCGUGACGGCGCGAGCAGGUGCGAAAGCAGGUCAUAGUGAUCCGGUGGUUCUGAAUGGAAGGGCCAUCGCUCAACGGAUAAAAGGUACUCCGGGGAUAACAGGCUGAUACCGCCCAAGAGUUCAUAUCGACGGCGGUGUUUGGCACCUCGAUGUCGGCUCAUCACAUCCUGGGGCUGAAGUAGGUCCCAAGGGUAUGGCUGUUCGCCAUUUAAAGUGGUACGCGAGCUGGGUUUAGAACGUCGUGAGACAGUUCGGUCCCUA
This 2349-nucleotide ribosomal RNA is filed under the name Escherichia coli. RNAcentral's name for it is "partial 23S ribosomal RNA". It matches the Rfam family "Bacterial large subunit ribosomal RNA", at positions 296 to 2640 of the family's 2925-position model. Lineage: Bacteria; Pseudomonadati; Pseudomonadota; Gammaproteobacteria; Enterobacterales; Enterobacteriaceae. The record is from RNAcentral.